GGGGGUGUAAAGGUUUCGACGGGGGUAAUAAGCAAAGGUUGCAUGCCGAGGUCCGGGUGGCUCGUUAAACAAUCCGGGACGCUUUAAGCGCCGAUAAUUAUAACUACGCCGUAGCAGCUUAAUACCCUGCUACCGAUCUACCGCCUCUCUCCCAUGGAGUAGGAUAGAUCGUCAUUUUAGUGGGAUAGCCGACGGGAGAGCCUGCGUACCUGACGCGAAACCUUAGCAGGAUCGACCUCUGAAUAUCCCGGCCAGUGGAGCUUCAGGGGGCUAAAACAAAAACUGGUAUAAGCAUGUAGACGCCUUCUGUGUACGAUCUUCGGACGCGGGUUCGAUUCCCGCCACCUCCACCA
Molecule: transfer-messenger RNA, 353 nt
Filed under: Deltaproteobacteria bacterium
Lineage: Bacteria; Pseudomonadati; Myxococcota; Myxococcia
Rfam family: transfer-messenger RNA
About the family: Bacterial tmRNA, also known as 10Sa RNA or SsrA, is named for its dual tRNA and mRNA-like properties. Its role is to liberate the mRNA from a stalled ribosome.
Source: RNAcentral